RNAcentral lists this ribosomal RNA (176 nucleotides) under Boehmeria clidemioides var. diffusa. RNAcentral describes it as "5.8S ribosomal RNA". The stretch from base 23 to 176 matches the Rfam family "5.8S ribosomal RNA". From Rfam's summary of the family: 5.8S ribosomal RNA (5.8S rRNA) is a component of the large subunit of the eukaryotic ribosome. Lineage: Eukaryota; Viridiplantae; Streptophyta; Magnoliopsida; Rosales; Urticaceae. RNAcentral also lists the same sequence under 5 other names. The record is from RNAcentral.
UAAUUUAUUAGAGCGUCGCAAUGACUCUCGGCAACGGAUAUCUCGGCUCUCGCAUCGAUGAAGAACGUAGCGAAAUGCGAUACUUGGUGUGAAUUGCAGAAUCCCGUGAACCAUCGAGUCUUUGAACGCAAGUUGCGCCCGAAGCCUUUCGGCCGAGGGCACGUCUGCCUGGGCGU